AGAUGGGCAUUUGGCGCUGAAACAAGAACAGGAAGACCAUGAACUUUGGGGCAGCAGGAGGAGUUAAUGCUAAUUCAAAGAAGCCAACAGUGCUGUCUUGGGGAUAAAGAGGGGUGCUAACAACAUCCCCAGCUGUGGGAUGGAGCCCAGGUGAAACUGGCCUUCCUUUUCCUGGAGACAUGACCUGGGCACUGUUUGGCAGUGGGUGGCAGUUAAUGAUGACAGCUUUAUGAGCUUAUCCAUAAUGAUGAGGCUUAGCUCCUGAACAGGAGGGACUUUUAAAGGCUAUUAAACCAGCUGUGCGGUACUUUCUGUUUCACAAGAACAGCAGUGGCAACAUCUGUGCCAAUUUUCAAUGUGAGGAUGUGGAUGUGGCCAUGCAUGUAUGUGUGUGCAAAAACUGGGGGGAUUGCAGUCCACUAAAGCUCUCCCAGCUUCCCAAGGCUAUUUUCUGGUUUCAGGUCUGAUCUGAGGAGGAAGGGAGCUGGAAAUCCGAUGUCCUUUGAAAGAGGAGCAUAACUCCCACUGGCCUUGUCCAUGGAGAUGGGGACACUGAGAUGACUGAGCACUGUUAUAACUCUGGGUGCUCCCCAUUUGAGUGUCCUGGCUGCUUGUUCCACCCUGUAGACAGUGACCUGGAGGGGUGCAGAGAAAUGGGAGAAGAGGAAGGACACCUUCUGAGGAGCAUCAUUUCAGAUCCAUGGGCUGUGCACCCAGUGUGUUUCUGAGGAGCUUCAUUCUCACCUACAGGUCAUAUUCAGGCACACAUAUCAUCCCUCCACUGCCCAGAGACCGUGCCAGAUGCCACCAGCUCCACCAAAGUGAAGGAGAGCCACUGGACUGCAGUGAACUUCCCCACAGCAGCAGGUGAGGAUGGAGGAACAACACUGUUGAAAAGGCCUGUGGACAUCCUGAGACUGGCAUGUCUGCAAAUUGGAGCAAGGAGACCUCCAAGUUGGAAUGGUUUCAUACAGGGAAUGGUUUGAAGUUCCUAUACCAGAAGUUUGGCAGAG
This 1013-nucleotide long non-coding RNA is filed under the name Calidris pugnax (ruff). Its description in RNAcentral is "lncRNA (ENSCPUG00000011542.1)". Lineage: Eukaryota; Metazoa; Chordata; Aves; Charadriiformes; Scolopacidae. The record is from RNAcentral.